Capra hircus (goat) is the source of this 1777-nucleotide long non-coding RNA. Lineage: Eukaryota; Metazoa; Chordata; Mammalia; Artiodactyla; Bovidae. The record is from Ensembl.
AGUAGACUGAACUGAAUGGGGGAAGCAAUGAUAGUGGAAGAAAUAAUAGCAUAUUCUUGGGGAAAAAAUUGGUGAGGGGGCCAAAAAAACAAACAAGAAAAGGUAAAAAUGAAAUAAGAUUCUGGAUGCUGAGUCUUAACAGGUUGGGGUCCUGCACCCGUUUGUGAGUAUUAUGCUAUCACUUGGCAUAUAAGAUCUGAGAUCUGCUGAGACUCAUCCUAGGUCCUCUCAGGGGGAUUAUGGAUACCAGAGUGAACAUUUCCAGCUUUAUUUUCCAGAGAACUUUUCAUCCUGAAGGUUGGCUUCUGUCUAACAUUGGCAUGUGUUUGACACUUCAUUAAAUUCCCCAUUUCAGUGGGCAGAAGUGAGAGUACACAGCCGGUACUGUGGUAGUUGUGCAAAAUCUUAGGUUAGGCAAAACUGUGCAGGGCAAAAUCAUAAAGUAAAAAAAGGGCCCCAAGAAUUCUUUUCCUGCAGUGGAGUUACUCAAGAUAUAGCCAACCUCUUUCAGGUCUAGCGUUAAUCUUAACUAAACUUAUAAAGAUUUCUCAGGCUCCAUACUAUAUUCAUAGCUUCCAGGGAGAAGUAAAUCACUAUCAAAUUUUGUGUAGAUAUAGGGUCUUUCAAAGGGACUCAUUGGCCAAAUAUAAUUUUUCCAUUGGAUUUAUCUGAAGAGUAAGGCAAUGUGGGUCUUCAUGGCUCCUUAGCUGGUCCACAUCAAACAGACAGUGUGAAGCCAUUGGCGGUCAUUGUACCUCCUACUAGCUAGAUUACACUGGAAUAGUGUCACAUUUUACUAACACUCCGCAGAAAACUUUCCUUGACUGUACUGCCUCGCUUUCAUGGGAUGGUGUCCAGGAUAAGCAGGGAAAAUAUUUCCCUCCCCCCUCCUAUUUUAUCUGAGUUUGCUCAAGGAACUGAAAUCAUCAUGUUCUGAGCCACAUGCCAUGUUCAAGGCCUCCAACGAGCACACAGAAAACUCUGAGGAAUCGUUAUUCAGUGACUUUGCCAUUUGCAAGCCUGUGGAAUUCAGGUGCCCACAGGAAGAAGUGGAGAGGUUUUUCCAGCCUGACCGUAUCAGCCGCGUCACCACAAGAACCUUCUGUUUUGGCUGAAGUCCUUCUAUCAGACUCAGGCUGUUCCUUGUGGCCAAGUUACUGCUCCCCUGAAGAGAAAUUCUCUAAUGACUACAGAUGGGUCCCAAGAACAAAGAGAUACAAUUGCAACCAGGAUGUCUUGUGGAUAAGAGGCUGCAUUUUCACCGUAAGCGAUUCUAAGGCGUAGAUUUGCCUGAAGGAGAUUUUCUGGAAAUUAUAUCAGAGAAAAACACCUCUGAAGGUAAGGGAAGCAGAGCUGGGCAAAAGGAGAAAUAGAACUGUGAGACAGUUGUGGCAGAUGUUUCAGCCAAUUCUACUUGGAAUUUUGUUUUUCUGUUUGUUUACUUAAUUUUCUAAAAUUAUCACCAUGCCAGUAGCUAUGAAGUGGUAUCUCAUUGUGGUUUUGAUUUGCAUCUCUCUAAUGUGUAAUGAUGAUUAUUAUUUAUUUGUGUAUUUCCUUUAGAGAAACCCCUGUUAUGGGGAGGGAGGUGAGAGGGGGGUUCAUGUUUGGGAACGCAUGUAAGAAUUAAAGAUUUUAAAAUUUAAAAAAAAAUAAAUAAAAUAAAUAAAGUUAUAUUAUAAUGACAAAAAAAAUAAAAAAAUAAAAUAUUUUUUAAAAGAUAAAAAAAAAAAAAAAAAGAAACCCCUUCUUGCCAAUCCCUUUCUGAUCCAUGUAUCCU